RNAcentral lists this transfer RNA (66 nucleotides) under Ochthebius quadricollis. RNAcentral's name for it is "tRNA-Ser". The record is from RNAcentral. Lineage: Eukaryota; Metazoa; Arthropoda; Insecta; Coleoptera; Hydraenidae.
AGUUAAUGAGCUUGAAUAAGCAUAUAUUUUGAAAAUAUAAGAUAAGUAAUUUUUACUUAUUAACUU